AGAAUCAACGCUGGCGGCGUGCCUCAGACAUGCAAGUCGAACGCGAAAGGGGGCUUCGGCCCCUGAGUAGAGUGGCGCACGGGUGAGUAACACGUGAGUAAUUUACCUUCUCGGUGGGGAGUAACAAUCGGAAACGGUUGCUAAUACCGCAUAAUGCAGCGGCAGCUUCGGCUGACAGUUGUUAAAGCGGGGAUCGGAGCAAUCCGACUCGCGCCGGAAGAGGAGCUCGCGGCGGAUUAGCUAGUUGGAGGUAACGCCUACAAGGCAUCGAUCCGA
RNAcentral lists this ribosomal RNA (276 nucleotides) under uncultured soil bacterium. RNAcentral's name for it is "partial 16S ribosomal RNA". It matches the Rfam family "Bacterial small subunit ribosomal RNA", at positions 26 to 284 of the family's 1533-position model. The record is from RNAcentral.